This 1375-nucleotide long non-coding RNA is filed under the name Daphnia pulex (common water flea). Its description in RNAcentral is "uncharacterized LOC124198578, transcript variant X3". The record is from RNAcentral. Lineage: Eukaryota; Metazoa; Arthropoda; Branchiopoda; Diplostraca; Daphniidae.
AACCAGAGCUGGUUGAACCUUGAACGAAAGUGUUAAAAAAUGUAACCGCAUGUUUACGAAUCAAUUUUGUUUCGGGCGUAAAUGGAAAAAAAGUCUGCUUGAUACAAUCAGUUUCUGGUACGAGUAAGUUAUUAUUACUUUUCCCGCAAGACGGAAAUUGCCAAGAAGUGGAUUUCCAGUGGAGGGGGCCUCAUUGAACACAAAUGAUCAUCCCUAGUUAUGACAACAAAUGGAUAAUCCUGCAAUGACUACUAAUACAAAUGAUUAAUAAUUAUCACCAUACAGAUCGUAAUGAAUGGAAAGCUGUUGUGUGCAUGUUCACAGAUUUAUUCUCUGCUUCUAGUCCAUCUUAAAAUGAAAAACCACCUUGCUGUAUGGAUUGUCCAAAGGUGGCGAUGAAUGUCCAAAUUGUCGUUGUCGGAUUCACCACCAGACGGCAAAAAAUCUAACUGGACUUUGGACUUGGAGGUUGGGAAACUUGGGAUGGGAUUUCAGAUGCGUCCAGUGCCAGUACGCCUACGUCACGAUUGACAUCAUGCCGAAAUCAAAUUUCUCAUCGGCUACAAAGUUGACGUGGGUGUUAUGGCGAAGCACUAAAGCCGCCUAAAAUACUUCGAUGUGCAUCAAAAGACAAAUGAUUCAAAUAUUGUGUUGCUGGUGAGCUAUUUAUGGUUGUGCCACAACUUCACAGCCUAUCAGUUAAAAGAUAGUUGAAAUAAUAGAGAUUUGAAGAAUUGCAGUCCAACAUUGUGUUUUUAUACAAGUUGUCAGUUGUGAUGUAAUCAUCUACUGAUGCAAGAUCAACUUGCAUCAGUAGAAAAAAAACCUGGCCCCUAUAAUGGCCGGCAGGAUGCGAUUGAUAAAUCAAAAGGUCGUCGGCACUCGACACCUCUUCGACAUCAGUGUAGCGCGGAAAUACAAAGUGGAGUGGAGUGAAGCGUUGAGCUGAAAGUAUGGCGAUCGACUCGCUAGUAGGUGUAGGACGACCGUGAUCAAAAUGAUAAUGAGAUGAUGACGUAGACGAAGUUACCACUUUUUGGUAUUUGCCCAUAGCCGAUUUGUAUCCGAGCUCCGACAAUCUUGACAACAGCAUCUGAAUUCUCCUAGCUGGUUUUCUGUGACAGAUAUGCCUCACAGUAUGUGUAAUCAUUUUUCUUUGACAGGGUAUGUCUGCCAGAUUAUGUUGAAGCUGUUAUCUGAUGCCGUCCAAUGCAGAACAUUUUGACUUGCUAACUGAAUUUUCCAACUGUUGGUUGAUGUUUGGGGUAUGCCUGAAAUUACCUAUGGUGUACAAUGUGCUGAUAAUGUUCCUGCCUGUCACCUGGUUUAAAAAUUUCUUGAACAGAACAGAAUUAAUGUUGCUGGUUAUUUUCCA